AACGAGCGCAACCCUUGUCUUUAAUUGCCAUCAUUGAGUUGGGCACUUUAAAGAGACUGCCGGUGUUAAACCGGAGGAAGGUGGGAUGACGUCAAGUCCUCAUGGCCUUUAUGCCUAGGGCUACACACGUGCUACAAUGGGUGGUACAAAGAGAAGCCAACUCGCGAGAGCGCGCCAAUCUCAAAAAGCCAUCCUCAGUUCGGAUUGGAGUCUGCAACUCGACUCCAUGAAGUUGGAAUCGCUAGUAAUCGCGGAUCAGCAUGCCGCGGUGAAUACGUUCCCGGGCCUU
Molecule: ribosomal RNA, 289 nt
Filed under: uncultured Smithella sp.
Lineage: Bacteria; Pseudomonadati; Thermodesulfobacteriota; Syntrophia; Syntrophales; Smithellaceae
Description: partial 16S ribosomal RNA
Rfam family: Bacterial small subunit ribosomal RNA
Source: RNAcentral